UACGGAGGGUGCAAGCAUUGAUCGGAAUUACUGGGCGUACAGGACGCGUAGGCGGUCAGGAAAGUCAGAUGUGAAAUCCCGGGGCUCACCCCCGGGGCUGCAUUUGAAACUUCCUAUCUAGAGUUCAGUUAGGGAAAGCGGAAUUCCACGUGUAGCGGUGAAAUGCGUAGAUAUGUGGAAGAACACCAGUGGUGAAGACGGUUUUCUGGGCUGAUACUGACGCUGAGGCGCGAAAGCAAGGGGAGCAAACAGG
Molecule: ribosomal RNA, 253 nt
Filed under: uncultured bacterium
Lineage: Bacteria
Description: partial 16S ribosomal RNA
Rfam family: Bacterial small subunit ribosomal RNA
Source: RNAcentral